GGCCGCGUAGCUCAGCUGGUAGAGCAGGUGACUGUUAAUCACCGGGUCACAGGUUCGAGUCCUGUCGCGGUCG
Molecule: transfer RNA, 73 nt
Filed under: Gemmatimonadaceae bacterium
Lineage: Bacteria; Pseudomonadati; Gemmatimonadota; Gemmatimonadia; Gemmatimonadales; Gemmatimonadaceae
Also listed under: 1 other name
Description: tRNA-Asn
Rfam family: tRNA
About the family: Transfer RNA (tRNA) molecules are approximately 80 nucleotides in length. Their secondary structure includes four short double-helical elements and three loops (D, anti-codon, and T loops).
Source: RNAcentral